AUGAGGGUGUACUCCAAACAGGGCCCAAAGCAUGUGGAGAGGAAGGACGCCCACAGGCAUUUGUUGGCGCGAGCCGAUGCGAUCCCGCUGUGGCAAUUGGGAUGGGUAGAUGGAGAGGCAUGGUGGAGGCCGGUGGCAGCAUCUGGCAAGGAAACAAUGAGUGAGGCGGCGGCAGUGUACAGUGGCAUGGCCGUUGUGUGGCAGCCAUCGCAUAGACAUCGAAGGAGCACCAGCGACACGUGCGCACACACAGACACACACACUGCUGGUGCUGCUGGAGACCAUGGGGCUGAGCGAGAAUGA
Molecule: ribosomal RNA, 303 nt
Filed under: Triticum aestivum (bread wheat)
Lineage: Eukaryota; Viridiplantae; Streptophyta; Magnoliopsida; Poales; Poaceae
Description: partial small subunit ribosomal RNA
Source: RNAcentral